Molecule: ribosomal RNA, 463 nt
Filed under: uncultured bacterium
Lineage: Bacteria
Description: partial 16S ribosomal RNA
Rfam family: Bacterial small subunit ribosomal RNA
Source: RNAcentral
GAUGAACGCUGACAGAAUGCUUAACACAUGCAAGUCGAUGGGGAAGUGGUGCUUGCACCAUGGUAACCAUGGCGGACGGGUGAGUAACGCGUAAGGAACUUGCCUGCGGGACUGGGAUAACAGCAGGAAACUGCUGAUAAUACCGGAUAAGGUCAUUAAGCUGCAUAGCUUAGUGAUGAAAGGAGACGCCUGCGGAGAGCCUCGCGUCCUAUUAGCUAGUUGGAGGGGUAACGGCCCACCAAGGCGAAGAUAGGUAGCCGGCCUGAGAGGGUGGACGGCCACAAGGGGACUGAGAUACGGCCCUUACUCCUACGGGAGGCAGCAGUGGGGAAUAUUGGACAAUGGGGGCAACCCUGAUCCAGCAAUUCUGUGUGCACGAAGACGGUUUUCGGAUUGUAAAGUGCUUUCAGCAGGGAAGAAGGAAGUGACGGUACCUGCAGAAGAAGCGACGGCUAAAUACGUG